Molecule: ribosomal RNA, 253 nt
Filed under: uncultured bacterium
Lineage: Bacteria
Description: partial 16S ribosomal RNA
Rfam family: Bacterial small subunit ribosomal RNA
Source: RNAcentral
UACGGGGGGGGCAAGCGUUGUUCGGAAUUACUGGGCGUAAAGGGUGCGUAGGCGGUCCGCUAAGUUAGAUGUGAAAACUCUGGGCUCAACCCAGAGCCUGCAUCUAAUACUGACGGGCUAGAGUUCUGGAGGGGGUAGCGGAAUUCCCGGUGUAGCAGUGAAAUGCGUAGAGAUCGGGAGGAACAUCUGUGGCGAAGGCGACUGCCUGGACCAGCACUGACACUGAGGCACGAAAGCGUGGGGAGCAAACAGG